Molecule: long non-coding RNA, 228 nt
Filed under: Malus domestica (apple)
Lineage: Eukaryota; Viridiplantae; Streptophyta; Magnoliopsida; Rosales; Rosaceae
Description: long non-coding RNA (MDOM_LNC000452)
Source: RNAcentral
UACAAUCGUUGUAAAAAGUGUGGCUAAUAAGAAGUAGAAGAUUAAUGAGAGAAGAGAAAGUACUUCACAUUCGGAAUGUGAAUCAAAUGUAGAUCCUUCCGAAAGCAGAUUGUACUUACUUCCUCAUAUGAACUACCAAAGAAAUUGGAAAAACCAAAGAUCGUCUUUACAUUCCAAUUUUAAGGAACUUAAUUCCGUCACUAUGAGAGAUGGAUGAAUGUUGUGUUU